This is a long non-coding RNA of Rosa chinensis, 1655 nucleotides long. RefSeq lists it as uncharacterized. Lineage: Eukaryota; Viridiplantae; Streptophyta; Magnoliopsida; Rosales; Rosaceae. The transcript has 8 exons. The record is from RefSeq and is a predicted model, not a curated record.
AUUUUGUCUUGAGAGAUCAUAAAUCUUCUCUUGUUUAAAUCGUUCCUGCCUAUUUUGUAUGCCACCUUAUAUUUAUGGAGUGAUCUUUUUCAAAGAAAUCUGAUAUUUAAUUAACUUCUCCAUCACAGAACUUGAUUUUCGGUUUCCAAUUGGAGCCCCCAUACAUGGGAUUCUUGCGUUUUUAUCUACAAAUCAGAUCAAGACUUAUGAUAAAGCAAGAAAUGCAUUGGCUCUUGCAUUGAGUCCUGUCGUCAGGGCUCUGGUUGAUCCAGAUGGAGCAUUGAGUGAUGUGCGGAAUUUGGAUAGCAUAAGCUUCUCAGAUUGGUUCAUGUCCAAGGGUGGCACACGCACGAGUAUCCAGAGAAUAAUACAGUGGAUGAUCAGGACACAUGGUUUUCUAAUAAGGAAGCCACGCUGUUGAAAUCACAGAAAUUCACCCCUGAAUUUGAUUUCACAAACCUUAUAUUUUCCAAACAUUGUAAAUGUUCAUCUCUUCAAGGGAUGCUCAACGGAAUUCAUCAAUCAGAUUGUAUGUCCAAGAUUUUUCGUGUACCGCGGUCAAGCAUCUGUUUUCCUUACUGAAUUGUUGCCCAAGGCUGGGUGAUUGAAGCAGAGGAUAUAUAUGGUUCGUAUUUGAUUAGAAGGGCUGGGGGCUGACUAAAUAUGGAGGGGAAGGGGACAGAAGAAAGAAAAAAAGAAAAAAAAAAGAAAGGAAAAAUAAAGAAGAAGAGAGGAUGGGGACGAAGAAAAAGACGGGAAAGGAAGGGAAGAGAGAGUUGGAGAGUUUGGGUUUUUGUCGAAGGCAACCAUUUGGGUAUCUCUGGAUUUGAGGGGAGAGAAGCUAGAAGGUUUCUGUUGAUUUUCGGAAGCAAAGAUGAAGAAUUGAGAAUAUGAUCUCUUAGUGAAGGGGUUUUGCUUUGAGUUGGGUUGGUUGUUUCCGUUCUGCUCUAUGAUUCGAAAAGCAAACUGUGGAUGGAAGGAGGAGAUUUAGGAGAGGUGUUUCAGCCUUUGUUAUUCUUUUUUCUGCUAUUCAAAGCUUUGAGCCUUUUGGGUUUUCCUUUUUUGGCUGUUCUUGUUUUGGGUCUGCUUAAGAACUGAGAUUGGUUUUAUCCAGCCCAGACAUCUCAGAAUGUAUGCAGCAGUUCAUAAUAGUGGCGAACUGGCUUUGUGUAGACCUAGAGACAAAAGCUGGAGUGUCUACCAAGUAUUUGAAGAAAAUGAAAAUCUUGUCGAGAGAGUCAACAGAAUAUUGUUUUCCACUACUGGCGUGCUAUAUGCCUUGGUUACAGGUAACCGCAAUGGUCGUGGUGUUGAUGCAGACCGCACUUUAAAGUUCGGAGAUGAGGCAGUGAAAUUGAAACUGAUCUAUGACAUAGAGGAGUGGUGGAUUGAUGCAGGGGUUGAUCCGGUAGGGCUUUUGUGCAUGUCAUACUUGUUGGAAUCAACAAACAACGAAAUUUUAUUGAAACAUAAGCAACAUUAGAAGACAACAUUAGAAGACAUAAUGCUUUGGAACAAUGUGUAUCGGCCUUUGAUGUUCAAGUAGAUAGGGCAUAUAUGUAUUAGAAUGUAAAACGAGAUGUUGAAUGAUUGGGAAAUGCUCCAUUUUAACAUUUUUGGCAUAUGGAAUGGAUUGGAUUACUCAUUUGAAGGCU